This 492-nucleotide ribosomal RNA is filed under the name uncultured bacterium. RNAcentral's name for it is "partial 16S ribosomal RNA". It matches the Rfam family "Bacterial small subunit ribosomal RNA", at positions 29 to 507 of the family's 1533-position model. The record is from RNAcentral.
AGUGAACGCUGGCGGUAGGCCUAACACAUGCAAGUCGAACGGCAGCACAGUAAGAGCUUGCUCUUACGGGUGGCGAGUGGCGGACGGGUGAGGAAUACAUCGGAAUCUACUUUUUCGUGGGGGAUAACGUAGGGAAACUUACGCUAAUACCGCAUACGACCUACGGGUGAAAGCAGGGGAUCUUCGGACCUUGCGCGAUUGAAUGAGCCGAUGUCGGAUUAGCUAGUUGGCGGGGUAAAGGCCCACCAAGGCGACGAUCCGUAGCUGGUCUGAGAGGAUGAUCAGCCACACUGGAACUGAGACACGGUCCAGACUCCUACGGGAGGCCGCAGUGGGGAAUAUUGGACCAUGGGCGCAAGCCUGAUCCAGCCAUACCGCGUGGGUGAAGAAGGCCUUCGGGUUGUAAAGCCCUUUUGUUGGGAAAGAAAAGCAGCAGGUUAAUACCCCGCUGUUCUGACGGUACCCAAAGAAUAAGCACCGGCUAACUUCGUG